GGCUACGGCUGGCGGCGUGUCUUAGCCAUGCAAGUCGAGCGGACUUAUGGGGUAACUUAUAAGUCAGCGGCGGACGGCGGAGUAACACGUAGCUAACCUACCCUCUGGACGGGGAUAACCUACCGAAAGGUGGGCUAAUACCCGAUGUAGUCAUCCUGUAUAGGGGUGAUGAAAGGUGGGCUUCUGUUUACAAGCUCAUGCUGGAGGAGGGGGCUGCGGCCUAUCAGGUAGUUGGUAGGGUAAUAGCCUACCAAGCCGAUGACGGGUAGCCGGCCUGAGAGGGUGACCGGCCCGAGGGGCACUGAGAUACGGGUCCCACUCCUACGGGGGGCAGCAGGCUAGAAAUUUGGGCAAUGGGGGAAACCCUGACCCAGUGACGCCGCGUGCAGGAAGGAGCCCUUCGGGGUGUAAACUGCUGUCGUGUAGGGAGAAGGGUACUAAGGUGAACAAUCUUAGUACUUGACGGUACUACAGGAGGAAGCCCAGGCUAACCUCGUG
Molecule: ribosomal RNA, 498 nt
Filed under: uncultured bacterium
Lineage: Bacteria
Description: bacterial SSU rRNA
Rfam family: Bacterial small subunit ribosomal RNA
Source: RNAcentral